RNAcentral lists this ribosomal RNA (2317 nucleotides) under Escherichia coli. RNAcentral's name for it is "partial 23S ribosomal RNA". It matches the Rfam family "Bacterial large subunit ribosomal RNA", at positions 645 to 2925 of the family's 2925-position model. The record is from RNAcentral. Lineage: Bacteria; Pseudomonadati; Pseudomonadota; Gammaproteobacteria; Enterobacterales; Enterobacteriaceae.
GUUAACCGAAUAGGGGAGCCGAAGGGAAACCGAGUCUUAACCGGGCGUUAAGUUGCAGGGUAUAGACCCGAAACCCGGUGAUCUAGCCAUGGGCAGGUUGAAGGUUGGGUAACACUAACUGGAGGACCGAACCGACUAAUGUUGAAAAAUUAGCGGAUGACUUGUGGCUGGGGGUGAAAGGCCAAUCAAACCGGGAGAUAGCUGGUUCUCCCCGAAAGCUAUUUAGGUAGCGCCUCGUGAAUUCAUCUCCGGGGGUAGAGCACUGUUUCGGCAAGGGGGUCAUCCCGACUUACCAACCCGAUGCAAACUGCGAAUACCGGAGAAUGUUAUCACGGGAGACACACGGCGGGUGCUAACGUCCGUCGUGAAGAGGGAAACAACCCAGACCGCCAGCUAAGGUCCCAAAGUCAUGGUUAAGUGGGAAACGAUGUGGGAAGGCCCAGACAGCCAGGAUGUUGGCUUAGAAGCAGCCAUCAUUUAAAGAAAGCGUAAUAGCUCACUGGUCGAGUCGGCCUGCGCGGAAGAUGUAACGGGGCUAAACCAUGCACCGAAGCUGCGGCAGCGACACUGUGUGUUGUUGGGUAGGGGAGCGUUCUGUAAGCCUGUGAAGGUGUGCUGUGAGGCAUGCUGGAGGUAUCAGAAGUGCGAAUGCUGACAUAAGUAACGAUAAAGCGGGUGAAAAGCCCGCUCGCCGGAAGACCAAGGGUUCCUGUCCAACGUUAAUCGGGGCAGGGUGAGUCGACCCCUAAGGCGAGGCCGAAAGGCGUAGUCGAUGGGAAACAGGUUAAUAUUCCUGUACUUGGUGUUACUGCGAAGGGGGGACGGAGAAGGCUAUGUUGGCCGGGCGACGGUUGUCCCGGUUUAAGCGUGUAGGCUGGUUUUCCAGGCAAAUCCGGAAAAUCAAGGCUGAGGCGUGAUGACGAGGCACUACGGUGCUGAAGCAACAAAUGCCCUGCUUCCAGGAAAAGCCUCUAAGCAUCAGGUAACAUCAAAUCGUACCCCAAACCGACACAGGUGGUCAGGUAGAGAAUACCAAGGCGCUUGAGAGAACUCGGGUGAAGGAACUAGGCAAAAUGGUGCCGUAACUUCGGGAGAAGGCACGCUGAUAUGUAGGUGAAGUCCCUCGCGGAUGGAGCUGAAAUCAGUCGAAGAUACCAGCUGGCUGCAACUGUUUAUUAAAAACACAGCACUGUGCAAACACGAAAGUGGACGUAUACGGUGUGACGCCUGCCCGGUGCCGGAAGGUUAAUUGAUGGGGUCAGCGCAAGCGAAGCUCUUGAUCGAAGCCCCGGUAAACGGCGGCCGUAACUAUAACGGUCCUAAGGUAGCGAAAUUCCUUGUCGGGUAAGUUCCGACCUGCACGAAUGGCGUAAUGAUGGCCAGGCUGUCUCCACCCGAGACUCAGUGAAAUUGAACUCGCUGUGAAGAUGCAGUGUACCCGCGGCAAGACGGAAAGACCCCGUGAACCUUUACUAUAGCUUGACACUGAACAUUGAGCCUUGAUGUGUAGGAUAGGUGGGAGGCUUUGAAGUGUGGACGCCAGUCUGCAUGGAGCCGACCUUGAAAUACCACCCUUUAAUGUUUGAUGUUCUAACGUGGACCCGUGAUCCGGGUUGCGGACAGUGUCUGGUGGGUAGUUUGACUGGGGCGGUCUCCUCCUAAAGAGUAACGGAGGAGCACGAAGGUUGGCUAAUCCUGGUCGGACAUCAGGAGGUUAGUGCAAUGGCAUAAGCCAGCUUGACUGCGAGCGUGACGGCGCGAGCAGGUGCGAAAGCAGGUCAUAGUGAUCCGGUGGUUCUGAAUGGAAGGGCCAUCGCUCAACGGAUAAAAGGUACUCCGGGGAUAACAGGCUGAUACCGCCCAAGAGUUCAUAUCGACGGCGGUGUUUGGCACCUCGAUGUCGGCUCAUCACAUCCUGGGGCUGAAGUAGGUCCCAAGGGUAUGGCUGUUCGCCAUUUAAAGUGGUACGCGAGCUGGGUUUAGAACGUCGUGAGACAGUUCGGUCCCUAUCUGCCGUGGGCGCUGGAGAACUGAGGGGGGCUGCUCCUAGUACGAGAGGACCGGAGUGGACGCAUCACUGGUGUUCGGGUUGUCAUGCCAAUGGCACUGCCCGGUAGCUAAAUGCGGAAGAGAUAAGUGCUGAAAGCAUCUAAGCACGAAACUUGCCCCGAGAUGAGUUCUCCCUGACCCUUUAAGGGUCCUGAAGGAACGUUGAAGACGACGACGUUGAUAGGCCGGGUGUGUAAGCGCAGCGAUGCGUUGAGCUAACCGGUACUAAUGAACCGUGAGGCUUAACCUUACAACGCCGAAGGUGUUU